CGAGAAUCGACAAAGAAAUUUCAAGUGCAACUUGGUGGUUAGAUGGUGAAAUUAGCUGUUUUUUAGUCUGCAUUUUGUAUUUUCUCUCCAUUUGGUUUAAUUCCUUCUUACCUCAAAAAGUCUUCGUAGUAAUCGAAAAUGAACUUUUUUCCAAGCAAGACAUUCUCUAUUGCAUUUGAUUACCUCACUCUUACGCAAGUUCUGGACCACCUGGGAGCAGAUCAUAACCAUCAUGGUGCUUAGGAGUUUCCUUUUCGACUGGGAUCAACUUCAAAAUGACAGCAACGAUCAAGCUUACAGCGCCAAUUGAGACACUGAGCAGCCAUAGUUGCCAGCUAAGUGGUGUAGUACUGGCAAAAGUGCCUAAGAACUCAACGAUGAUAACUUGGAAAACAACUGUAGCAACCAUGACACCUAUGAAAAUCCAGCUGCCAAAAAUGCCACGGAAAAUGUUUAUCUUCUCCAUGUCACGGCUGUUUAUUUCAUUGAAAACCUGACAAAACACAAACGUGUUGAAAAUGAAAGUAUUCAGAACCAUUGUAGAAUCUGAACCUUCAAGUCCCAAAAUCUGCUUCCCCGCGAAGUUGAAGGCUAACAGUACAGCCAGCUGGUAGAUACUGUGCCCAAUUAUAUUUCUCCACAUUGUCUUUGUAAUGAAACUUACAUCCCUUCCAACAGGAGGCCUACUCAUUAGUCCGUCAUGAGGUGGUUCAGUGGCCAGUGCGAGUGCACCUAAAGUAUCCAUGAUAAGGUUGACCCAAAGAAGCUGAACGGCAGUAAGAGGAGCAGAUCCUGAGGCGCAUGCAGAAAUAAAAUUGAUCAUCAAAGCCACAACAUUGACAGUCAACUGGAAUUGCACGAAUUUUUG
Molecule: unclassified non-coding RNA, 868 nt
Filed under: Hevea brasiliensis (rubber tree)
Lineage: Eukaryota; Viridiplantae; Streptophyta; Magnoliopsida; Malpighiales; Euphorbiaceae
Source: RNAcentral